RNAcentral lists this ribosomal RNA (726 nucleotides) under Shigella sonnei. Its description in RNAcentral is "partial 23S ribosomal RNA". It matches the Rfam family "Bacterial large subunit ribosomal RNA", at positions 2196 to 2916 of the family's 2925-position model. The record is from RNAcentral. Lineage: Bacteria; Pseudomonadati; Pseudomonadota; Gammaproteobacteria; Enterobacterales; Enterobacteriaceae.
AAUACCACCCUUUAAUGUUUGAUGUUCUAACGUGGACCCGUGAUCCGGGUUGCGGACAGUGUCUGGUGGGUAGUUUGACUGGGGCGGUCUCCUCCUAAAGAGUAACGGAGGAGCACGAAGGUUGGCUAAUCCUGGUCGGACAUCAGGAGGUUAGUGCAAUGGCAUAAGCCAGCUUGACUGCGAGCGUGACGGCGCGAGCAGGUGCGAAAGCAGGUCAUAGUGAUCCGGUGGUUCUGAAUGGAAGGGCCAUCGCUCAACGGAUAAAAGGUACUCCGGGGAUAACAGGCUGAUACCGCCCAAGAGUUCAUAUCGACGGCGGUGUUUGGCACCUCGAUGUCGGCUCAUCACAUCCUGGGGCUGAAGUAGGUCCCAAGGGUAUGGCUGUUCGCCAUUUAAAGUGGUACGCGAGCUGGGUUUAGAACGUCGUGAGACAGUUCGGUCCCUAUCUGCCGUGGGCGCUGGAGAACUGAGGGGGGCUGCUCCUAGUACGAGAGGACCGGAGUGGACGCAUCACUGGUGUUCGGGUUGUCAUGCCAAUGGCACUGCCCGGUAGCUAAAUGCGGAAGAGAUAAGUGCUGAAAGCAUCUAAGCACGAAACUUGCCCCGAGAUGAGUUCUCCCUGACCCUUUAAGGGUCCUGAAGGAACGUUGAAGACGACGACGUUGAUAGGCCGGGUGUGUAAGCGCAGCGAUGCGUUGAGCUAACCGGUACUAAUGAACCGUGAGG